RNAcentral lists this long non-coding RNA (6303 nucleotides) under Selaginella moellendorffii. RNAcentral's name for it is "long non-coding RNA (SMOE_LNC001571)". Lineage: Eukaryota; Viridiplantae; Streptophyta; Lycopodiopsida; Selaginellales; Selaginellaceae. The record is from RNAcentral.
AUCAUUAUUGAAAACCUUUGGCGAAUUGUACGUAGAAAAAAAUGGUGGAAAAGGCCGCUUUCCAGCGCCGAGCAUUAUUCGCGAUCAGCCAGGAGAGAAGGUGUGUGAUUAAAAAGGAGAGGGAGAGAGAGAGAGAAAAGGGGGGCUCGUUCUGGAUCCACAUUUGGAGUGAUCGCCUCUUUUGCCGAAAGCUACUCCUGGCAUGAUCCAUUAGAAAAAAAAAAUCUCUCCCUCACCUAAUCGAUGAUAGCGAGCAAAGAAUUGGAGCCUUCCUCUUUCUCCCUUGGGAUUUUUCCUUUCUUAAAUCCCAGCGAUCGUUCAAUCCUCCUUGAUCCAUUCAACUCAAUCCUGAAGAAUUCAAUGCUAGCGCUCGCGAUGCUCAGACAUUUAUCCCCAAUGCUCGUCGCAAUCUCCAUCCUCGUUUUCCUCCCAAUCGCUCUGGGCGGAGCUUCUUCCCGGAUUGGCUUCGCGGAGGAGAAAGAGGUCCCGGUGUGGCCCAAGCCCCACUCACUCCUCGCCAGUGGCUCGGGGUCGCUGGCAUUGGCCGAGAAUUUCACGCUGCGCUCGUCGCCGGACUCGAUCGCGACGCUGAGCAGCGCAUUCGCUCGAUACCGCGAGAUUAUCUUCCUCCACCACUCGAUCUUCCUCGCCUCUCGCCAGAUCCCCGAGAGCAUACCACAGCUCCAGGCGCUCAGCGUUCGAAUCUCAUCCCCGGACGAAACAGUGAGUCAAAAUCUCCCUCCAUAGCCAGGGUUUUUAGUCUGGAAAUAUUUUGCGCCAUGGGCGCUCUCGAUCAAGGGAGGCGCGCGAGCCGCGCCGAGCUCGAUCGAGGCGCGGGGCAUGGUAUUCUUGCGAUCGAUCGUUUCUUGCGCCUCUGGUCUUACUCCUAAGCUCUCUCGCAGCUCCAAAUCGGCGUGGAUGAGUCGUAUCGCCUCCAAAUCCCGGAUCCCGACGAUGCUACUGCCGCAUUGCUCACGGUAAAUCCCAGCGCUGCUCCUUCUUGAUGGAAAUUUGAUUGUUCUUUCGUGGGAUUCUCCUCUUUCAGGCAGAGACUGUGUAUGGAGCCCUACACGGAUUGGAGGUAAUGUACGGACAUUGAUAGUCUCUGGAGUGAAAUUUUCGUGUUCUUGGUGCUCUCUCAGACGUUUAGCCAGAUCUGCGCGUUCAAUUUCACGACGAAGAUGACGGAAGUGCGAUACAUCCCAGUGGACAUCGUCGAUCGGCCGAGAUUUGAGUAUCGAGGUCUCUUGAUUGGUACGAUGAUUAGCUUUCUUCGUGUGUCUGUCUCUUCACUCAUUGUAAGCUUUUCUUUUUUAUCACAGACACUUCGAGGCACUAUGAGCCCCUCAAGAUUGUCCGGAGCGUCAUUGAUUCCAUGGCCUACGCCAAGCUGGUGAAUACUUAAAACUUUCAUCAUACUGUUGGUGUUGACGGAUUUUUUUACGUGUUUCUAGAAUGUUUUGCACUGGCAUAUUGUCGACACCCAAUCGUUUCCUUUGGAGAUUCCUUCCUUUCCUAAGCUUUGGAAUGGAGCGUAUACCGGAGCCGAGCGCUACACUCUAGAAGAUGCCAAGGGUAUUGUCGAGUAAGUCCACAAUUUUUGUCCCUUUCACGUGCCAAACAAAUUUUGGAAUUUCGGAUUGUCAGAUACGCGAGGCUAAGAGGAAUCAAUGUGAUGCCAGAGCUUGAUGUUCCCGGUCAUGCUGCAUCCUGGUCUGAUUCUCUUUUGCGUUAUCAAUAAGAUAGAUUGCUUCAAUUGUGCCGGAUCAACAGGGGCGUAGGCUAUCCGGAACUGUGGCCCUCCGGGAACUGUACGCAACCUUUGGAUGUAAGCAGUGAGUUCACUUUUGAGGUCAUCGAAGGGAUCAUUUCGGGCAAGUAGUGAUAAACUUCCGGAGGCAGCAAAGCAUUGACUCUGUUUUCCUGUAGAUUUUGCAAAGACCUUUCCUUUCAAAUUCAUGCACCUUGGUGGUGACGAAGUCGAUACAAGUAAGCCACAGAAAUACUUCCAAGUUUCUCAUGUUUGAUGUUUAGCCUGCUGGAAGAAGACGCGACAUAUAGCCAGAUGGUAUGUAGUCAAGUUUCGGGAUCAAGUUUCGGCUUAUUCUAACAUGCAGGCUUGCACAUAACAAUUUCACCGCCAAGCAAGGCUACGAAUACUUUGUUCUACGCGCGCAAAAGAUUGCCCUGAAGUACGGGCUUACUCCCGUGAAUUGGUAAAUUCUAAAAGACUUUCUGAACUUUAUAAAGCUGACAAUAACAAUGCCAAUGCAGGGAAGAGACUUUUAAUAACUUUGGUAGCAAACUCAAUAACGAGACGAUCAUUCACAACUGGUCUAAGCUUUAUCCUUACGUUUUCUUAGGAUACUCACAUUCCUGGAACUUACUUUUCAGGAUAGGACCUGGUCUGGCGCCACUCGUUGUAGGAGCAGGUUUCAAGUGCAUCGUGAGUGAUCAAGACGUGUGGUAUCUGGAUCAUCUCGACGUACCAUGGCAAAGCUUUUACAAGAACGAGCCACUCACAAACAUAACGGGAGAGCAUGAGCAGAGUUUGAUAAUUGGAGGAGAAGUUUGCAUGUGGGGCGAAACUGUGGAUCCAAGCGACAUACAUCAAACAAUCUGGCCUCGAGCGGCAGCUGCAGCCGGUGAGUCCGGGUCUCGGCCGUGUUUCUCACUCACAUUUGAGCUUUUCUAGAACGCUUGUGGUCUCCGAGGAGCUUCACGGACCAGGGAACUUCGCAAGUCCAUUCGAGGCUCAAAACUUUCAGGUGUUUGCUACAACAGCGAGGGAUCCCUGCAGCUCCAGUAGAUGAGCUUGGGCGGGUGUCUCCGCCGUAUCCAGGUUCUUGUUACGACCAGUAAAGUAUCGCAGAAUUUUUAUGUAGCGUGUUAAUUUACUUGCUUCUCAACAAUCUCAGUGUGUACAUUGCAGCUUUCAAUGGUUAUUAUAAGAAGUAUGCGCAAGCAGGAGAUACGCUCCAGAGUUUCCUGGCUCGAGCUUGACAGCCUCGUCCACAACUUGGUUGGCUCGAUGCAAAUCCCCGUGAGUCCGACAGGCGCCCAGAACACUUGUCCAUCCCACUGCCCCCAGCAGCUUGGACGUUUUCAUCACGAGCUCCUCGGCGUCCCGCAGCCGUCCAGCUCGUCCCAGCAGAUCAAUCACGCAGACGUAGUGCUCCUCCCGCGGCUCGACUCCAAAGUCCUCGGUCAUCGACACAAAGUAGCUCCAGGCCUCGUCCACCAUCCCUGCGUGAGCACACNNNNNNNNNNNNNNNNNNNNNNNNNNNNNNNNNNNNNNNNNNNNNNNNNNNNNNNNNNNNNNNNNNNNNNNNNNNNNNNNNNNNNNNNNNNNNNNNNNNNAAGCAAAAGCAAAGCAAAAGUCCCAGAAGGCACGGGCAUCCACCACGAAUCGAAAAUAGAUUAAUACAAAUAAUAAUCUUAUGGGCGCUCAAUGAGCCACAAACGUCCAAACUAAUGAGCUACUAACAUUACUACAGAGGAAGAUUUUUCUCUUUUAUUUGGCAAUUUUAUUUGAACCAUGGAGCUCUUUAGCACUGGAUGAAGAAGCUGUUCCAUCCAAAGCCCGAGCAGUCCUGUACAGAGGCACUAAACCGUGUCUGCGCCACACCUUGGCAGUUUGCCGUGUUGUAGGCCGCAGCAGUCUGGCCCUGGUACCCAAAGCUGUAGCCGCCGUGCUGCGAGGCUCCAACAUUGGUGCAUCCACAAGCACUGUAGCGCACCCGCUGAUUGUUACACCCGGGCCCUGCCCAAGUAUCGAAGUAGCUUGCAUUGGCCGUGAUCAUUGAUCCCAAGACAAUGACCGCCACAAGAACGAGCACCAUUUUUCCUGCCAUUGUCACGCAAACACAAAGCUAUGCUAUGAUCGUCAAUCAAAUGAAAACUCUCUCAAGGAAGAUCCAAUGAACAUCUAAGAGCACACAACAGUGAGAUUUAUACACCACCUCUUGCACGCGCCAAACAGUCAAGGGUCAUCUUUUGCAUGCGCAGUCAAUGACGUGCACAAGCCCUAAAAUAUUAUCAUUAUUGAAAACCUAAUUGUACGUAGGAAAAAAUGGUGGAAAAGGCCGCUUUCCAUUGGCAGGCCAGCGCCGAGCAUUUAUUCGCGAUCAGCCAGGACAGAAGGUGUGUGAUUAAAAAGGAGAGGGAGUGUUAGAGCCACGUGGUGUACAGCCAGCUGGCUUUUGUUUUGGUCUCGUCCUGGAGUUUUCUUCUGGAAUAUAUGGUCAAAGACAACCUUACAGGUGAAUGGUAAAUCAAGACAUUGAUAGUUUUCUCAAUUUCUUGUUACAAAAUAUCAGCAACAACAUCCUGCUCCUGCAUUUGCAUAAAGAGCUUGGAAGCCACCUCCGGAUCGCCGAUCUCGAAACGUCUAAGGAUCAUAGAAGUCCGCGAGGUGACAUUCCUGUGAGGCAUUUCUUGGAAGAGCUGCCAAGCCACCCCAGCCCCCCACCGCACUUGAAAUACAAGUCCAUCAAAAUAUUCUCCAGCAAGAUCGAUGGAGAAAGCGCCGAGCUGCCGACCUCUGCCGAACAUCGUAGUGAAUCCUCCUCCCGCUCCCAAUAUCUCUCGAUCUGGCAACGCAAUGUUUCAGCGCUGCGACAGUGGCUCCCAUGCCCGGCGCCUGGCCGCUGCGCCGCUGCGAAUCGUAUGCUUGCAGCGCAUUGCCGCAUCCCUCGCGAGUGCAACAUCGCAUUCAUGGCCACAAAUUUCUUUUUGAAAAAGCUUAUAACAUAAAGCUUCUGAUUACGUUUCAAAGUCAGAGUAAUUUUGGAUAAGAGUGUAAUUGGGAGAGGCAGGUGUGGUGUGGAAAGGUCUUUGCCAAUUUAGUCUGUUGAAAGCUCGAGCAAUUUGUGUUCCUGUAUAGUAAAACAUGCCCAUUUACUGUAGUAUGCAAAAACCAUUGGUACAGCCCAGUUGCUGCAAAGACACUAAUAGAAAUGUCGCAAACACCAUUAGAAGAAUUGCUAAUGUAUAUGAAUCUGACAUUUUGCUUCAACAUGUGAACUAUCUUAAAUUGGCAGAAAAUAACUACAGAAAGCAAAAGCAAAGCAAAAGUUCCAGAUGGCAUGGGCAUCCAUCACGAAUCUAAAAUAGAAUAAUACAAAUAAUAAUCUUAUGGGCGCUCAAUGAGCCACAAACGUCCAAACUAAUGAGCUACUAACAUUACUACAGAGGAAGAUUUUUCUCUUUUAUUUGGCAAUUUUAUUUGAACCAUGGAGCUCUUUAGCACUGGAUGAAGAAGCUGUUCCAUCCAAAGCCCGAGCAGUCCCGUACAGAGGCACUAAACCGUGUCUGCGCCACACCUUGGCAGUUUGCCGUGUUGUAGGCCGCAGCAGUCUGGCCCGUGAGGCUCCAACAUUGGUGCAUCCACAAGCACUGUAGCGCUCCAGCCGAUUGUUACACCCGGGCCCUGCCCAAGCAUCGAAGUAGCUUGCAUUGGCCGUGAUCAUCGAUCCCACCACAGUGAUGGCGACAAGAACGAGCACCAUUUUUCCUGCCAUUGUCACACAAACACAAAGCUAUACUAUGAUCGUCAAUCAAAUGAAAACUCUUUCAAGGAAGAUCUAAUGAACAUCUAAGAGCACACAACAGUGAGAUUUAUACACGAGGAGUCAGCUCUUGCAUGCGCGCCACGAAACAGUCAAGGGUCAAAGGUGGUAAAAAAAAUUCUAACCCUAAACAACGUGCACAAACCCUAAAAUAUAUCUUUGGACGACAAAAUAUUUGGCUUUGGACGACAAGCAUUAUCAUUAUUGAAAACCUUUGGCGAAUUGUACGUAGAAAAAAAUGGUGGAAAAGGCCGCUUUCCAGCGCCGAGCAUUAUUCGCGAUCAGCCAGGAGAGAAGGUGUGUGAUUAAAAAGGAGAGGGAGAGAGAGAGAGAAAAGGGGGGCUCGUUCUGGAUCCACAUUUGGAGUGAUCGCCUCUUUUGCCGAAAGCUACUCCUGGCAUGAUCCAUUAGAAAAAAAAAAUCUCUCCCUCACCUAAUCGAUGAUAGCGAGCAAAGAAUUGGAGCCUUCCUCUUUCUCCCUUGGGAUUUUUCCUUUCUUAAAUCCCAGCGAUCGUUCAAUCCUCCUUGAUCCAUUCAACUCAAUCCUGAAGAAUUCAAUGCUAGCGCUCGCGAUGCUCAGACAUUUAUCCCCAAUGCUCGUCGCAAUCUCCAUCCUCGUUUUCCUCCCAAUCGCUCUGGGCGGAGCUUCUUCCCGGAUUGGCUUCGCGGAGGAGAAAGAGGUCCCGGUGUGGCCCAAGCCCCACUCACUCCUCGCCAGUGGCUCGGGGUCGCN